AUACGGAGGGUGCGAGCGUUAAUCGGAUUUACUGGGCGUAAAGCGCGCGUAGGCGGCUAAUUAAGUCAAAUGUGAAAUCCCCGAGCUUAACUUGGGAAUUGCAUUCGAUACUGGUUAGCUAGAGUGUGGGAGAGGAUGGUAGAAUUCCAGGUGUAGCGGUGAAAUGCGUAGAGAUCUGGAGGAAUACCGAUGGCGAAGGCAGCCAUCUGGCCUAACACUGACGCUGAGGUGCGAAAGCAUGGGGAGCAAACAGGAUUAGAUACCCGCGUAGUCC
RNAcentral lists this ribosomal RNA (274 nucleotides) under uncultured bacterium. Its description in RNAcentral is "partial 16S ribosomal RNA". It matches the Rfam family "Bacterial small subunit ribosomal RNA", at positions 523 to 796 of the family's 1533-position model. The record is from RNAcentral.